RNAcentral lists this ribosomal RNA (495 nucleotides) under uncultured bacterium. Its description in RNAcentral is "bacterial SSU rRNA". It matches the Rfam family "Bacterial small subunit ribosomal RNA", at positions 30 to 517 of the family's 1533-position model. The record is from RNAcentral.
AUUGAACGCUGGCGGCAGGCCUAACACAUGCAAGUCGAGCGGUAGAGAGGUGCUUGCAUCUCUUGAGAGCGGCGGACGGGUGAGUAAUGCCUAGGAAUCUGCCUGGUGUGGGGGAUAACGUUCGGAAACGGACGCUAAUACCGCAUACGUCCUACGGGAGAAAGCGGGGGAUCUUCGGACCUCGCGCCAUUAGAUGAGCCUAGGUCGGAUUAGCUAGUUGGUGAGGUAAUGGCUCACCAAGGCGACGAUCCGUAACUGGUCUGAGAGGAUGAUCAGUCACACUGGAACUGAGACACGGUCCAGACUCCUACGGGAGGCAGCAGUGGGGAAUAUUGGACAAUGGGCGGAAGCCUGAUCCAGCCAUGCCGCGUGUGUGAAGAAGGUCUUCGGAUUGUAAAGCACUUUAAGUUUGGGAGGAAGGGUAGUAACCUAAUACGUUGCUACUUUGACGUUACCGACAGAAUAAGACACCGGCUAACUUCGUGCCAGCAGCCG